This 1401-nucleotide long non-coding RNA is filed under the name Salarias fasciatus (jewelled blenny). Its description in RNAcentral is "lncRNA (ENSSFAG00005015011.1)". The record is from RNAcentral. Lineage: Eukaryota; Metazoa; Chordata; Actinopteri; Blenniiformes; Blenniidae.
UAGUUCUGGUCCUGGCUCUGGUCCUGGCUCUGGUCCUGGUCCUGGUUCUCAGUGAGUGUCCAGGCUCUGGUUCUGGUCCAGGUUCUUGUCCUGGUCCUGGUUCUCAGUGAGUGUCCAGGUUCUGGUUCUGGCCCUGGUCCUAGUCUUGGUCCUGGUCCUGGUCCUGGUCCUGGUCCUGGUCCUGGUCCUGGUCCUGGUCCUGGUCCUGGUCCCGGCUAUCAGUGAGCCGCUGGGUCCUCCUGGUUCUCAGGCUGACUGUGUGACGGUUGGGUUCUGGCUGCAGCAGGAGGAGGGUCCUCGGCGCUGUGCUGUGGUUUCCUGUUUGAAGGUGGGAGGAUGUGCAGACGGUUGCAGCAGCGUUCACACGCCGCCGCCGCCACCGCCGCCGCCGCCCGCUCUGAUUGGCUGACGGAGGAGCUGCUGCCUGACGCUUCCUGCAGGCUUCAGUCGGUGACUCAUCUCCGCCUCGGGUUCUUCGGGUUCUUCCACUUCUUCUUCUGCUUUUGCUCCCGUCCCAGAAAUCUGAAGAGGUCAGAGGUCAGGGUCUGGGCGGAGGGAGGCCGGGGCUCGGCCGGUGAUUGGGCGCGGCGAGGGACGGAGGAGACGAGUCGGAGACGAGAACAUGGCCGCCGGCGGUCUCGGGAGGAGCCGAUCCUGAACCAGAGCUUCGUCCAGACGCCGCCGAACGGGAAUGAUGGACGCCUCCUGGCUCCCCCUGCUGCUGUCCGCCGCCGUCCUGAUGGCCGCCGUCGUCCUGCUGGCGGUCUGUGUGGACUGCAGGAACAACGGGCCGCUGGCGUCCAUACCACAAACCCACGCCUCCGAAGACUACAUCCGGUCCACUGACUUCAGAAUCAUCCAUCCAUCUCGAACAAACACAGACCUGAACUCCCUGGGCUCCCCGUCCAACCUGCUGUCGCCGCUCCCAAAUUCCGUUGGUGGAUCUCAAAGACAGCCGUCCUUCACUGCCACUGAGACUGAGAGUAAUCCCAGCUACGAGAAUCCAGGACCGGAGUGUCUGGACAGCGACGCUGAAGACCCCGGCUACAUAAUCGUGCUGCCGGACGGUGAAGCUCCGCCCAGUUUGAGCCGCGCCUCCACGCCGAACUCCGGGACCUCAGAUGCAGAACCCAACUACGUCAACAUCGCCUGUUUGCCUCCAGAGGACAGCCAAGACUACGUCAACGUGGAACCCAGCUCCGUCUCCCAGGCGAUGCCCGAAUCUUCAGCUCAGACCGACGACGACGACGACGACAGUGACGACGACGACGAGGGAAACUACGUCAAUCAGCCUCCUGUGGCGCUAGAGGAUCGUCGUCAAGCAGAAAAACCCAAAUCCCAGCCUGAUGCACUGCUGGCUGCUUUUGCCGAGCAGAGAAAAUCCAAAUAAAAGAGCCAAAG